RNAcentral lists this ribosomal RNA (338 nucleotides) under Pseudomonas sp. RNAcentral describes it as "partial 23S ribosomal RNA". It matches the Rfam family "Bacterial large subunit ribosomal RNA", at positions 1 to 386 of the family's 2925-position model. The record is from RNAcentral. Lineage: Bacteria; Pseudomonadati; Pseudomonadota; Gammaproteobacteria; Pseudomonadales; Pseudomonadaceae.
UCAAGCGUAAUUAAGGGCAUCUCGAGAAUGCCUAGGCUCUAAGAGGCGAUGAAGGACGUGAUACACUGCGAUAAGCUGCGGUUAGCUGUGAUUAAGCUUUGACCCGCAGAUUUCCGAAUGGGGAAACCCACCACAUCUGUGGUAUCUGCAACUGAAUACAUAGGUUGUAGAAGCAAACCCGGGGAACUGAAACAUCUUAGUACCCGGAGGAAAGGACAUCAACCGAGACUCCGUUAGUAGUGGCGAGCGAACGCGGAUCAGGCCAGUGGUCAUUUUGUAAGAACUAGAAUUGUCUGGAAAGGCAAGCCAAAGUGGGUGAUAGCCCCGUAUAGGUAGAA